AUACAGAGGGUGCAAGCGUUACUCGGAUUUAUUGGGCGUAAAGAGCACGUAGGCGGACUCAUAAGUCUGGUGUGAAAUCCCUCGGCUCAACCGAGGAACUGCGCUGGAAACUGUGAGUCUUGAGUACGGGAUAGGACAGUGGAAUUCCCAGUGUAGAGGUGAAAUUCGUAGAUAUUGGGAGGAACACCAGUGGCGUAGGCGACUGUCUGGACCGAUACUGACGCUGAGGUGCGAAAGCGUGGGGAGCAAACAGAAUUAGAAACCCCGGUAGUCC
Molecule: ribosomal RNA, 274 nt
Filed under: uncultured bacterium
Lineage: Bacteria
Description: partial 16S ribosomal RNA
Rfam family: Bacterial small subunit ribosomal RNA
Source: RNAcentral